Non-coding RNA from Nothobranchius furzeri (turquoise killifish), 462 nucleotides. Lineage: Eukaryota; Metazoa; Chordata; Actinopteri; Cyprinodontiformes; Nothobranchiidae. The record is from RefSeq and is a predicted model, not a curated record.
AGACCAAGAUGUGAGGUGUCUUCUGUUGAUUCCAGCUUCCACCUCAGUGACAGUGCAAGCUCAGUGAACUGUUCAAGGAGGCUACUGAUUCUGGCCCUGUGACACUUGGUGGUGACGUGUGAGCUGAUUCACCUGGUAAAUAACUUUUACAUUAAAUAUUUUGUUUCUGCUAUUAAAAGUAAAUUAACUAAUAACCUGCAUUAUUGCAGGACACUCAGCAAAAUAUGGACUCUACACCAUGAGGCAGGCACACGUUAAUACUCUAUAAGAGCACAUAAGCAUGAGGAUGUCCUCACACACCUGUAACCUAUCAGCUCAUCUGGCAGAAUAGAGAGAAGAGACAACACCACAUCUCCUGUUCCUGGAAAGCCUUCAGCCAUCCUUCGAUGACUGAGAACCUCCAUCAGCUCUGUCUCCUGUCUGCCCACAAUUAUUAUAAUAAAUAUUGUGUUUGACAAGUUU